Molecule: non-coding RNA, 225 nt
Organism: Paramuricea clavata
Lineage: Eukaryota; Metazoa; Cnidaria; Anthozoa; Malacalcyonacea; Plexauridae
Source: the annotation of a GenBank genome assembly
UCCAAUAUGAGUAAAUAUUUUCCGGAACACACUAAAACUAGUACGUCAAUUUGUGGCGUAUACACAAGUAUUAAAAGUUGUCAAAAAACCAUUAUCCGGCGCUUGUACCCCGGUACACAGAAAUAUCGGCCAUAGCCGAUUAAUCGGCCGAUUAUUUUUUUAUAUCGGCUCCGAUAUAUCGGAUCGGCGAAUCGGCUUUUUUCUGGUAUCGGCUCAUCCCUAGUA